UUCAAAAGAAAGGAGAAAACUAAGUAUUUUCUCUCGCUCUACCUUCUUCCACCAACCAAUAAACUCUGGCCUGAAGAAGAUAAAAAUAAAAGUGAAUAGAUGAGUAAGGCCGAUCGAGGAGACCAUUUGCGAUUUACAUAAUCAAGAUUCUCUAAGCUUACAUCGCGCUAAGUAUUGAGUAGAUGUCAAAACGCGCUCUAAACAAUGGAAACUACAUGAGCACGAGAAUAAGGAACAAGUCGACAAGAUGGGCACAACUUUCUAAAGCUUGUUCACCAUAACUCCCAUUCAUAAAAAAUAAGGAGAGUUUAGCUAGAUUCGCCGACAUUAACGAAUACACGGACCUCAAUAAGAGGCCCUCAACAGCCAGCCUUCCUAACCAACUCGUACAAUUUAUACCAUCAACGUGAAGCCCCUAAGUCCUUUCCAGGAACAUUUCUCUUCAUCAAUCCUGCAGAUCCCGAUUCAAACAACGGAUGACUCCAAUUCAUCAAUCAUGUGUCUGUAUACCCACAUUCAUUGAAUGGCCUCGACUGACUAUUCCCACCCCUCUAUUAGUUGGUCAUUGACAACGACAAGGGUCUGCUUCAUGCUCUGUUUUCCUUUGGACUUAGGACAUUCUCGGAACAACAAUUAGUCUGUCCUUAUAUAUUGGUGAGUGGUUGCUCGGUUCAUUCGGAUUGACCUAUUGGUUUACGAAGUGCCAUAACAAAUUGUGAUUUAGUGAUUUAAACCAAGUGAGCCAAAUUCAGGAAGUAAUAGAAAUCUGUCACGCAAGCUACUGCGCAAACUUUGUAAAUCGAUCUCAUUUCUCGCUUUGCUCUAAACUUAUUAUUUGUACAAACACUGCAGAUUAUCAUAGUUAUUCAUUGAUCAACCGCAACAAUACGUUGAUCUCCCCUUUGUUUAGCAUGGUCUAAUGAAGCUUUUUGGUCUUGUUUCAAACAGAAGGUUCUGAAAUUCCGUUUGGGAAAAAACGGAACAAUGUUCAGUUAUAAAGACAAUAUGUAACACUAUCAGUAAAAUCUAAAUGCUGUUGAUAAAUUUGUGCAACUGGUAACCUAUUGUCGUUCAGGCAUUUCCAUGUAAUCUGUGAAUGAUAUUAGCGGCUUACUAACGUCAUGCAAUAAUACCUUAUCAAUCCAUGGUGGAUAUGAUUUUCUAAAGGCCGGUCUCACUUGGACUUCGCAGGUUUGGACCAUGAACACUAAAAGCCUAAUAGAAGAAGAGAGCUAUCUAUGCAAUCCUGAGCAUUGUAAUCUUGAGGGAACCCGUCUCGAGUAGCUUAAUGAAUGGGCAUAAGACGUGUAGGACUCAGUCACGAGCCUCACAGAGAAGAUAUUUCUAGUGAGUUCACUAUUCAAUAGCUAAAGUCUGAUUCCCGUGCUUUGCAAGGUUACUUCUUGUGGAAUCAGAGCGCAUUGCGGCAGACAGAAACUAGAGGCCAACAAAACUCUAGAAGAAAAAGUUUAAUAUGUCCCGCGUAACUCACGUUCCAAUCAUUGAACUUUUCGACGCAGCUGAAGACUUUUAAGACCUCUUGUUCACAAAUAUUUUCUCAUUUUAAGAUCACUUUAUCGUGGAAAAAGAAUGACAGAGACCCUCGUUCAGCGACCAGGGCAAAGUAACACCGAGCUUCUCAAACAUUCAAUUAGCCACCACGGUCAUCUCACUUCUGUGAACCACGGUCAUUUCACCGAGCAGGUCCUUUCUCUCUUGCCGCAAGCCACAUAUUCGGUCCAAGUAUGGUCAAUGGCUCUCCAUUCUCAUUUUUGAAAAUUGAAACAUUUCUAAUUAAAUAUGUUUAAUAAGUUCUUCGGGAGACACUUGUUAAUAAUUUUUUUUUCUUAUUUGCAAUAGUGUGGGGCUUGUUACACACACACACACACACACACACACACACACACACACAUACACAUAUAUAUAUUUAACGUUUACUAAUAAUAUUCGUUCUUUGAGAGAUGCUUGUUAAUGAUAUACUUGCAAUCCUCGACGGAAAAAAAAAAAAAAAAAAAGAGAGGAGAAAAUAAUACACUAUUUACUUCAUGGAAAAUGAAUGAUUUAAAAAAUAUUUUUCUGAAAAUGAUCAUUUGUAUUAUUUAUAAAAGUGAACAAAUAUUCAUUGUUCACAAAAAUAUUUAGGCAUAAAUUGCUGUCAAUAAUGAAAAUAUUUUCCACUUACUAAUUAUUUCAAGUGGUACAACAUAUCAUUUUUAAGAAAAUAUUUUUCAAAUCAUUUAUUUUUUUGUGAAACAAAUAGAGCCGAAGUCCUCACAUCCUCUUUCAUUGCAUAUAAUUUACAUUCCGAUGAAGAUCAAUUAAGUUGCCAAGUCUCUGGCUUAAGAUCAGCAACAUUGAUUAGCAGCGAUUUCAUUCUGUGUAUAAGAGAAAUAGAAUCUUUCACACCAACUAGAAGAAAGGAACGAAGUUCCUUUCAUACGGUGAUGGCAAUGACUGAUCAUGGCUUUCAGGAAUUUUUAUGUUAAGAUACAACUCACACACAGCAACUUUGUACUUGCGAUGCAUCUGAGUUUCCAUUCUCUAAAAUGGCUCCCAUUUUUUUUUCUAGCGGGAGCUAGACUCUGAGGUCGCUACCUCGUCAUCACUAAUCCAAUUCCGGCUUUUGAUUAUUCCCACAUGAAGCUUCCCAGCUAUCAAAACAACUUUCAUGGCUGUUGACCGCAGAGUCGAGAGGACCUUGUGCAGUGGACUGGAACAUCAAAAGGUUGAUGCCAUUGUCUUGGAGUUUGCAGAGGAAAUUUCUUAUGAAAGUGAUGCCGCUGAAGUUGACAGUGCCUAUCAUCUGCAUAUGCAGACUGUUUCUGGGGUCCAACUUUCACUUUCAGAAAGGAUUGAUUCUGAUGAGAACGCGCUUACUUAUUCUAUUGCCCACAGGACACUGUCAGACAAUUAAGGGUGAAGACCUGAUCGUUGACUUCGAGUCUUCAUGCGUCUGUAUUCCGACAUUCGCUGGAUGGCCUCGACUGACUUUCCAACCCUCUCUAUCGGUCAUUUACAGCUACAAGGGUCACCUUCAUGCCUCGUUUUCCUUUGGACUUAGUCGGUACCAGGAACAACGACUGAUUUGUCCUUAUACAAAUUGUGCGGCUAGGCAUAAAAUUGGUUUAUCAAGUGCCGUAACAAAUUGUGUGAUUAGGGAUAAAAUUGUUUGACGUUUCCGUUUAGGAAAAGACGGAGCAAUAUUCCGUUAGAAAAUAUGUAAAAGUAUUAGUAAGAUCUACCCGCUGGUAAAUUUGUACAACUGGAAAUUUGUUGUUCAAGUACUUACAUGUAAUUUAUGAAUGAUCAGCGACUUAAUCCGAUCAUAUAAUAAUUACGUAUUAAAUUUCUUUAUACAUUUACCACACAAAAUUAAAUAUAGUGGUGUAAAUAACAAGUUAACAUUGAAACUAAUAACGAACACACACAUAUAUAUACAUAUAUAGAACAUCGAUCUGCUUUUGAGGUAGUAGGUUAUCUCCAGAAUAAUUAAUUUACCACUGAAAUUAUUCUACUAGGAAUUUAUAAUGGUAAUACUUUUAUUUUGUUUGUAAGUUACACCUAGCUAAUUGACAAUACUAGUAAGUAACUUGUAAUCUAUUAACGGGAAAAGCGCGCCCACUCGUAAAGCUAAACGAUUGUUCGUAAUCUACAAGUCUAUUUAUGCUUAGUAAAUUGGUUAUUUCAUUAGUAUGUCACUAACAAAUUAACGUCGUUAUUCAUAAGACGUGAAAUAAUGCUAAUAAUAUACUAAGAAUUUAUAGUGGUAAGAUUGUUAUUUUAUUCGUAAGUUACAAUUGUUGAGCGACACUACUCGUAAACUAUGUAAGCAAUUCCUAAUCUACUAGCGAUAAGACACGCCCAUUUGAAAAAGUGAUGACUAUUCGGAUCUACACCAACCCGGUAUAUUGGUCAGUUGGUUAGUAUGUUAUUAACAAAUAAACGUUCGCACUCGUUAAACCAAAAAGAACAUCAAUAAUCUAUUCAUAAUUUAUACUGGUAAAAUUAUUGUGUUGGUAACUUAUUAUUAACAAAUGAAGGGGACCGCUUACAAAUUCAAAAAACAAUCAAAGAUCUACUAUUAGGAUUGAGGAUUAUAAGAUGGUCAUUUUUCAUCACUUACUAACAAUUAAUCCGAUCGAUAAAUUCUUAGUAUUUUUAGAUAUUUCAAAUUUGUUAUCGGUUAUUCAAAUUUAACGAGGAAACUUGUAGAAAGGACAAUGAAAUGGCUAUCGCAAAAAUGAAGCAACGAAACCGUAAGUUUGCAAAACUAAAGCCCACUAGUUGCGUGACUCAAUUUCGAAGUGGACCGAAGGGGUGUGCAGUGAGAUUAGAUAUGGCCUGUAAUUUAGGUGUGGUUUAGCCAUCUCAUUGACAAGAGAUUUAUAGAGGAUUGGGAUUUUGGAGAGAAUCUACUUGUUUUGGUCUCAAAAAUCAUUUAUUGAUUGCCUUUAUGAUUAAUUUGCAAAAUUGGUAGCGUAUUCAAAAAACUAAAAAGCAAGAAAGAUGUAUGCAUUCUUCUAAGCGUUAUCUCUACGGCAGAAUUAAAUGAAAAAUUAAUCAUAGUCAAUUUGAUUUUCUACACCAAGCAAAAGAAAAUGAUUGCGGAAGGAGCCCCACAUCGUUGCCGUAAAGUACACACGAGAAAAUUAUCUGUGGGAAAUAAGAUAAGAGAAGCAUGUGAAUAGUGUAAAAUGCUCCCAGUAAAUCCAUCAAUUAUCCAAAGGUAGUACCCCUGCCCUGGACCAUCAUGCGAUACCUAGGCAGUUUCUGCUUUGUGCUCUUUCAACAAAGACAAUAAAUUCUGCGGAUCUUUUCUUAGGAUGGUCAUAAGUUUGUGCUAAAAGUUUAGGAAAUUUACAAUUAGCAAUUAAUUCAUAUAUGUAAUUUCAUAUUAAUCUCUGCCGAUUUAGAUCUCUCAAAACUGAUAUUAAUUAGAAAGUAACGGUUAGCUUCGUAUUAUUUAGCGAUCACACUUUAUCCAAUUUCAACACACUUCAAGACUUACGAGAAAAAAAGAGGUAUCGGUGCUUUUUCUUGCUUUUCUUGACCUUUUGGAGUUUGAGUAAUACAAUUUUCUAAUGGUUGUAUUCUACUAGUAAAGAUGACCCAGGAAUGAUAGAUUGGAUAAAGUAUAAUGCGUCAUAAAUAAUGUGCACAUUUCUGGCACAUCAAAGUGAAAAUUACGUUAUAUAUAGAUGUUAUCUACCUCCCAUAAAUGGCUUUUUCGUUAAUGAGCUGCAGUUCCAAUUUUGAUCGCAUAUAAUCAAAUUUCUUUCAUUGAUGAAGUCUUGAUGCUUUUUGCUAGUAAACAAAUCUCUAAACAAUCUGUAUUCUACACUGAAAUUCUUGAUGAUCCAUAACCAUUUAUAAAUUGCUACUCAUUGUGCUUGUUUCAUAAAAGCUACUAAAUUAAUAAUACCAUUUGUACGGAUCACUAAGACAAUGUGUUUCUUCGUAAGUUAUACCAAACCUAGAUUCACAUAAAAGAUAACAAGGGGACAGAACCAUUUGACAAUUGUAUAUCAAUCCGUAAUGAUGUUGUCAUCUGCUAUGGCCACAUGUUCUUUAUUUUGCACGAAUUUCACAUCAGAAGUGACAUAUUGACUUUGAGUCCACCACCGUUGCCCCGGGUUUUGGUUUGGGAACAACUUUCUACCCCAUGUUUUGGUUUGAAAACAACUAAAAACUUGUUUCCAAAGUUUUCAAAAAGUCAAGGCUAAUUAUGAUAAACCACUUUCCAGGAUUCAAAGGAUUACAGUUUUUCCGAGAAUUUGUACCAAACACAUCAAUUUUGGCAAGUGAACAUGAAAAAAUAACAAUUUUUUUUUUUUAAAAUCAACAAGACCCAAAAUAUAGAUUCCACAAUAAGCCUAGUUGACCGCGUUCAGUUUACAAGGAGAUUUGAUUCUGCACCCCGAUCAACAAAAAUUUCCACCUAGAGGCCUUCGAUUCAUGACAUCUUUCAGAAAAUUUUGCAUCUAGAUGAUUCAACCUAAAGAAAGAGUCCUACCACUACUCCAAAUGUACACAAUGACUAAUUUUUGGUCAGACUUAACAUUCCAACGUAUCCUCAACGCGACAUAAUUUUGCAUCCAGACAAUCCGAUUUGACGCGCAUCGUCUUGAAUCUUGACUUCCAAGUUGGCAGAGGAAAUUUCUUAUGAAAGUAAUGCUGCUGUUUGACAGUGCCUAUUAUCUGCAUUUGCAACUUGUUUCUGGGGUCCAAUUCUCGCUUUUAAAGGAUUGAUGAGGACGCGCUAUUUUCAUUAUCCACAGGACACUGUCAGAUAAUUAAGGGCGAAGACCUUAUCGUUAACGUUGAGUCAACAUGCAUCUGUAUUCCAACAUUCAUUGAUUGGCCUUGACCGACUUUUCCAACCAUUCGUGGACGAGGGCGAAGAGCUGAUCGUUGACUUUGAAUCAACAUGUGCAUGAAUGCCGAUGUACAUUGAAAGGCCUCGACAGACUUUUCCAGCCCCCUCUAUCGGUCAUUUACAGCAACGACGGAUUUCUUCAUGCUCCGUUUUCCUUUGGACUUAGUCGGUACCAGGAACAGCAACUAGUUUGUCCUCAUACAUUGAUGAGCAGCGCUAGAAGCAGUGGCAUUAGUUCAUAAAAUUGGUUAAUUGCGUGCAUUAGGCAUUUUUUUGACCCAAAAAAAAGUGCAUUAGGCCUUUAAACAAGUGAGACAUAUUCAAACAAUAACAGAAGUCCAUCAUACGAAUAAACAAACUUCAUAAAUCAAUUUUAUUUCUUUCUUUACUUCAAAUUUAUUAUUUGAAUAGAGACAACAGAUUAUCAUAAGAAUCGACUUUUGAUACAUACACAUAAGAAUACUAAUACCGAAUUUUCUAUUUGUCUGAGAUUAUUUUCCAUACGUUGAUGUCCUCUUUAUUUAGCAUGGUGGUCUUUUUGGACGUUACGUAACAAUGUUACUUGAUAUAGACAAUAUGCCAGGCUUUUGGUAAGAUCUAAAUUCUGCCGGUAAAUUCGUACAACCAUUAAUCUAUUGUUCAAGUACUUACAUGUAAUUUACAAAUAACGUCGGCGGCUUACUACCAUCAUGCAAUAAUUACUCGUUAAAUUUCUUUUAUACAUUUACCACUCAAAACUAAAUCUAAUAGUGUAAAUAACAAAUUAACAUUGAAAUUAAUCACGCAUAAAUACAAACAUAGAUCAGUUUUUAAGGGAGUAAGUUAUCACUGGAUACUAAAAUACUAGGAAUUUAUGAUGGUAAAAUUUUCAUUUUGUUUCUAAGUUACAAGUAGUUAAUUGACAGUACUAGUAAAGUAUGUAAUCAACUUGUAGUCUAGUAACGCAAAUACGCACCCGCUUGUAAAAAUGAAUGAUUGUUCGUAAUCUACAAGUGUAUUUAUGCCCGGUAAAUCGAUUUCUUCAUUAGUAUGUUACUAACAAAUUACAUUAUUACUCAUAAGAUUUAAAUAAUGCUAAUAAUUUACUAGAAAUUUAUAGUGAUAAAAUUGUUAUUUUGUUUGGAAGUUACAACCGUUCAACGACACUACUCGACGUACUCGUAAACUCUAUAAGCAAUUCCUAAUCUACUAGCGACAAAACACCGCAUUUGUAAAAAUGAAUGACUAUUCAUAAUUUACAUCAACCUAGUAAAUCAGUUUAUUCGGUUAGUACGGUAUAGAAAAAUAAACGUUGGUACUCAUUAAACCAAAAAAACAUCAAUAAUCGAUUCAUAAUUUAUAUUGGUAUAUGUUGGUAACUUAUUAUUGAAUAAUGAAGGGGACCACAUACAAAUUAUAAAAACAAUAAGUGAUCUACUAUUAGGAUUAAAGAUUAUAAAAUGGUCAUUCCAUUCAUCACUUACUAACAAUUAAUCAAUCGGACUGAUAAGUUUCCAGUAGUUUGCUUACUAACAUAUAUUUCAAAUUUGCUAUCGGUUAUCCAAAUUUAACGUUGAGGAAACUCCCGGAAAGCACAAUGCAAUGGCAAUCGCAAAAACGAAACAACGAAAUUGUGAGUUUGCAAAACUAAAGCCCACGAGUUGCAUGACUCAAAGCAGAAGUGGACCGAAGGGAUGAGCAGGGAGAUUAAUAAAGGAUGAGAGAUGUGAUGUGUAAUUUAGGCAUGGUUUAACCAUCUCAUUAACAAGAGAUUUAUAGAGUAUCGGGAUUUUGGAGAGAGCCUACUUGUUCUGGUCUCAAAAGUCAUUUAUUGAUUACUUUUAUGAUUAAUCUGCAAAAUUGGUGUUGCAUUAAAAAAAAAAAAAAAAGGAGCAAGAAAGAUGUAUACAUUCUUCUAAGCGUUAUCUCUACGGCAGAAUAAAAUGAAAAAAUUAAUGAAAGUCAAAUUGAUUUUCCACAACAGGCAAAUGAAAAUGAUUACGGAAGGAGCACGCCAUUGUUGGCGUAAGGUACACACGAGAAAAUUAUCUGUGGGAAAUUGGAAUGUGUAAAAGAUAAGAGAAGUGUGCGAAUAGUGUGAAAUGCUCCCAGUAAAUCCAUCAAUUAUGCAAAGAUGGUUCCCCUGCCCUGGACCAUUGUGCGAUACUUAGGCAGUUUUUACUUUGUGCUCUUUCAACAAAGACAAUAAAUUCUGCAGAUUUUUUUUUUUUUGGAGUAUAGUCAUAAGUUUGUGCUAAAAGUUUAGGAAAUUUGCAAUUAGCAAUUAAUUCAUAUAUAUAAUUUCAUAUUAAUCUCUAUCGAAUGUGAUUUCUCGAAACUGAUAUUAAAUAAAAAGUAAAGGCUGGUUUCAUAUUAAUUGGCUAUUACACUUUAUCCAUUUUCGAUGCACUUUCAAGACUCGCGAGAAAAAAAAGGUAUCAGUGCUUUUUCUUUCGUUUCUUGCCCUUUUGGAGUGUGAUAUCCUGAUUUAUCGAUUCUAUUUUCAAUAAAUUGAGACGGGCAUUUCGUUGGCACGCAUAUAGUUCUUUUCCUUGAGUCAGCCACUCAUGUGAAAACUAGUCUAUUGGGUGAAGCCGUUAAGAGUUUCUAAUGCAUCAGACUCGAGAAUUUGAUCAGGAAGUGACCUUUCGACCGAGCUAAUCUGCAAGGGUCAUUACGGCACAAUUAAAAAUCGAUUAGAGAUCGGAGAUAGGUCGACUCGAUAGAGGCAUGUGAUCAGGUAUGGGUGAUUCCACCAGAUCGCACAAUUCUUGUCGAUCGGCACUAGACCGACUUUUCUAUCGAUUGGGUACCCUGUGUUCGUAUUUGAAACCUUAAGAUUACCCCGACAACCAAAAGUCGCCAAUGUUUCAAAGAUGUACAUUGUGGCUUAAGAUGAUCAACCACAGGUCAAAUGCAUGAAAAUUUCUAAAGGCUACCCGGUAGAUUGGGCCACGCUAGUAUCGUGCCAAAGUGAAAUUAACCGUGGAAUCGAGAUCGAAUUCAGAAAUUGGAAGUCUUGGUGUGUCACAAAUCAUUUUAGGAACAUUGACUAAUCUUCGGAAGAUUUUUUUUUCAUGCAAUCAGAAUUUUUCAGAGAUUAAAUCAGAGAAUGGCUAUUUUGGCUCGAGAAAUUAGUAGGCCCGCCUUUGGUCUUGCUUUUGGGACUUAAGUUGAUUCUAUGGACAAGUGAAGAUGUGAAUUGAAGUGUGGUGACAUUGGAUUAAUUUUAUGAACUUCAAUUGGACUCAAUUGAAAGAGAAUUGAAUGGAAUUGGAGAAAUUAGUGUACAAGAAUUGGACCCCGGCGGAAAAUGAAAUUGCAACCAUUGAAAAAUGUUGUGGGAGGUUUGGAGAUAGUGGGAUAUGACAUCACUUGAUGAUGUCAUGGUGGGCCAUUGUGUGGGAUUAAACAAAGAGAAAAAGAGAAAAGAAAAAUGGUCCCAUCUCUCUCUCCCCUUCCUCUCUCUCCUCCUUCCCUCUCUCCCGUCGCCUUUCUCCUUCAUCUCCACGGUGCGAAGACCAGAAAAUUUGCAGAGGGAGAAGCCGAAGCAGUCCUUCGCCGUCCGCCUCCUUCGCCGCUCGUCGCUCGCCGCCGUUCGCGCGCGCAGCCACACGUCCGCUCACCGUUGCCCUCUCUCCUCCAUCUUCUUCUUCUUGCUGCUCGAGAUCUCAGAUCUGGUCGGACGCCAAGCAGAAGCAGCAGCCAACGUCGCCCGGAGCCGUCGCACUCCUCCGCCUGUCCCCGUUCGCCGCCGUCGUGCGUCGCCGUCGCUGCUCGUCCGCCCGCGCUCGCCCGCGCUUGGCCGACGCCCAACCGCCUCCGCCCCUGUUCGCGCGUUCCACGAGCUGCCGGAGCUCGUCUCCGCCACCGAAGGGUUGCCGAAGCUGCCGCCAAUCACCACCUGAGCUGCCGCCGUCCAUCUCCGCCGGUUUUUGCGCCUCACCAGCCACCGGAUCCGCUCCGUCUCGGCCCCAAACAAAAGCUGGAAAAAUGGGUAUGGCAGCGGACAUUUGGCCCGUUUUGGCCGCCUUCCCGAGCCCGGAUGCUCGGCCCCCCUUGAGGAAAGUCAAUCCUCACGUCGUCCUCGUCGUUUUGGUCCGCUCGGCUCGCUAAUCCGGUGAGUUUAACUCACUAAAUCUUGAUUAGAGGGUUAAUGAUGCCCUAAGUGUGCUUAGUCUAAGUUAAGUAAGUUUAUGUGGUUAGAUUAGUUUAUUUGGUUGAUGAUUAGAUUAGGGUGUUUAAUUAAGUUAAAGUGUGUUUAGUUUAAGGUUAAGUAUGUUUAUCUUUAAUAUAAAGCCUUGAUGUGACAUAAUAGGAUUUUAUUUUUGAAUUAUUUAAUGAUUUCGAAUUCUGGAAUUUAUAAUAUUAUAUUAUAUUUCGAAAUUAUUAAAAUAUUAUUAUUUAAUUAUUUUCGGAAUAAAUUUAAUUAUUUAUUAAAUUCCGAAAAUUUUGUCAAGACCCUAAAUUCUCAGAAUUUCGUGCCGAUCGCUGCUGUGUAGUCAGAUUUUGAAAUUGAUGAUUGGAUGUUAUAAAUCGAGUGUGGAUUGUGAAAGAUAGGGAUAUUAUUAUUUAAUUAAUUUUCGAAAUAAAUUUAAUUAUUAAAUAAAUUCCGAAAAUUAUUUUGGGACCCUAAAUUCUCAGAAUUUUGUGCUGAUCGCUGCUGUGUAUUCAGAUUAUGAAUUUGAUGAUUAGAUAUUACAAAUUGAGUGAUGAUUUGUGCAAUUGAUUAUUGAAUUGUUGUGUGCUGGUUGAAAGACUCAGGUCGCAGUAGUGGCUUGGCCGACUGGACCUUUGUUCUUUUAGAAAUGCUGUCAAGAGAGUGACGUGGCUCGGGUUACAAUAGUGGCUAGGCCGACUGGAUCCUUUGUUCUUCUAGAAAUGUCGUCAAGAGAGUGACGUGGCUCGGGUCGUAGUAGAGGCUAGGCCAACUGGACCCAUGCUCCUUCGGGAAUGCAGUCGACGUACUGACGAAGCCGCGCUCCAAGGUGGGCAGGCGAUGCCUGGUUAUAUGCCAGUAGAUAGCCGAACUGCGAGUAGGCUAUGCCCUUGUGUGACAGUGAAUAACAAUUGGAAUGCAUGUUGAGUGUUGUUGAUGUGUCGGAUUAUGAGACGGAAUUGUGUGGCAUGGAAUGGGAUGUGUCAUAACGAUUUAGUCUUAUAAUCAGGACUCCCGCGGUUGUUGGUUAUAUGAAAGUGAAUGCGUUCCGGUUGUUUAAGUUCCUAUUACUAUCUGUGAUUGAGUGAUUUGAAUUGUGCUAACCUGCAGGAAGGAACUGAGGCGAGGUAAAUAUUCUGUGUGAUGUGGCUAGGCCACUCGGGGUGUAUUUUCUUUCUAAUAGGGGUUUAGGGGGUUGAACUUGUUGAGACAUUGUCUCAUCCCGGUUGUGGGAUUAAAAUUUCAGGUCCCUAGAUGGCGGUUGUGAAGGACCCGAAGCCCUAAGUCUGGAAAGGUGGAGACUGAAGUAUCGGUGAACGUGUCAUGCUAAUUGGUUUUAGGAUGGUUCCCCUUUUUUCGAGCUGGUCUAUUUUGUAGACAGUCCAGAGUUAUAUUUAAACCUAUGUGUUUGUAAAUGAGUGUUUGGUAUUGUGAUUGAUUGCCUGCUUUUCUAUCCCAAGUUAAAUGUUGUCAGGGGAUUUGUUUCACUUCCGUGUGUGUAAUAAAAUGAAUGGGUCGGUGACGUAUCUUGGGAUGUCGCAUAUUUGAUCGACCGCAGUGGGAUGUGCGCGCGCUCGGGGUUAGGGGCGUGACAUCCCCGUUUAUGUGGGUAUCAGAGCAUGGUCUGUGUAUGGAGUGAUAAGGUGCGAUGAGUCAUGGGAUAGUUAGUAGGAAAGGCUUUUAAUAUGCUGAUGCAUAUGGUUGAUAGUUGAUCGGUAGUAUGUUUGUGGGGUCACUCAAAUUCUAACCUGGUGUUGGUAUUGGAAAACAGGCGUCGAUAUAGAGUCUGUAGCAUGAGUGACCAGGAGUGGAGAACUCUUUGGAGGAGGUCGAUAGGACCUGUAUUUCAGGGUAGGAUGCUGACAAGAGUCGGUACCCGAGGUAAAGCGCAGGUUUAGUCCAGUGCGAGUGUGAGAGUACCGCCGUAGGCUGGUAUUGAGAGUGUAGUAGCACCGAAUGAUCCUAGGUUUGUCGGGAUCGUUCAGGCGCUAGUGUCCCUUGGAAGCUUGUUGGGUCAGUAAGCUCAGGACCGAGCCGCCACUGUUGCCGUCAUUUCUACCACUGCCAGUGUUGUGACCGCUGUUGUUGUUGCGCCUAUUGAGGCCUAAUCUGGAGUUGUGAUCGAGGAUCAAUGCCGCUGUAUCUGAGUCAAGGUUCAGUUUAGACAGAGAUAGAAAUCGAUUGGGGAGAAAGGUCGAUGCCAGAAGAAAGGUGCCCUGUUUCACCCAACCGGAGAAGUAGAAUUCGAAAGUCAGUGCUCAACUCAAUCGAGGUGUGUCAUGUCUGUAAGAAAAGACAGGAAUCUGUUUCGUGCUGUAAGAGAGACAGGACUUGUUACAAGGGUCGCCAGUACAGUUAUUUGAUCAAAGAUUGUCCGUAUAGACAGAUGGAAUCACAGCUGUUUCUGUCACCGCCGUUGAUAAGACGGAACAGAAGAAGCAUGCUUCGGGACAUUUAGUGGGAUACUUGGAAUGGACCUCAGUGCAAUGAAGGGUGCAUGAUAUUCCUUAAUAGGAGGUAAAUGACUCCCUGAUUAUGUGCCGAGCUUGUGGAAAGGAGGCUCGAGUCAGCCCAGUGUCAGAGUAAAAAGGGAAACAUGCUUUGAAUGUGGCCAGCAUGGCCGUCAGGUUAAAAACUGUCCGUGUAAGUUCAGGAGAGUGUAAGCAUUAUUACUGCAGAUAGAACGCCACUAGGAUGGCGAAAGGAAUAAUAAUGGAUUGACUAUGCAUUAAUCAAGGGAAGAAUGUUUUGAGGUGUUUUAUCAGAGUAGCGCAACAGGAUUUUGAGUGAAAGUUGUGGAGUUUCCAUUGUUGUAAUAAAGUAAUAGGAAGAUGAGUAUUUGACUAUAGUUGUACCUGAUGGGUUUGCUUAUGUAUGACUUGGGAGUCAUUUAUAAAAAGGUUUGGCUCGAGGAGCUUUCUGCUGUUAUGAAUCGUGGUAGUGAUAUAAUUCAGUUUGUUUAGUUAGCGUAUGAAAGUUUUGAAUUACUGAAAGUUAGAAAGGACCUUCGAUCCCUGUUAUUCGUCAUUGAAGAUGACUUGGUUCAGGUUGUUGGUUAUCGAAUCUACAUGGCAGCUGUAAUGGAUGCGUUAGUUGAGGAGCCGAAUAUGGAGAAUAUAAUCGUGGCACAUAAGUUUUCUAAGGUAUUUGCUGAAGAAUUGUCAAGUUUGUAGUCAGAAAGAGAAAUGGAGUUCACGAUUGAAUUAGCACCCAAAACAGAGCCAGUCCCUAAGGCUCCUUACCGGAUGGUGUUACCCGAGUUAAAAGGACUGAAGGUGUAGAUGCAGGAAGUGUUGGAUAGGGGAUUCAUACUUUCCAGUGCAUAACCUUGGGGAGCACCAGUUCUGUACAUGAAGGAGAAAUGUGGUUCGUUGUGGUUGUGUAUUGAUAUUCCUCAAGAUCGACUGGAGGUCAGGGUAUCAUCAAUUGAGGAUCAGGAAGAAAGACAUACCAAAGUUAAGACCUCGCACUCGAUACAGUAGUUAUGAGUUCACUAUAAUGCUGUGUGGUUUAAUAGACACCUUAGCUAUUUGUUGGGUCUAAUGAGCAGAAUGUUUAAAGGUACUUGAAUCAGUUGUGAUUGUGCUCAGUGAAGUUAUCCUGGUGUGUUCAAAGAGUGCUGAGGAGCACAAGAGACAUUUAGGGAUGAUACUUCAGACUUUGAGUACUUUUGGAUUUUACGAUAGGUUUAGCAAAUGUGAGUUUUGGAUGACUCGUAUUGCGUUCCUAGGUCACGUGAUUUCAGGAGAAGAAAUCUCCGUAGACCCCGUCUAAGAUUGAAGCAGUGAACAGUUGGCCGAGAUUGGCUACAGUGACAGAGAUCAGAAGUUCUAGGGAUUAGCAGGAUAUUUCAAACAGUUCGUAAAAGGGUUUUUAGCGUUAGCGUUACCAUUGAUAAGACUACUAAGGAAGUAAGAAAAGUUCGUGUGGACAGAUGAGUGCGAGCGUAGUUUUCAAGGGCCUAAGAAGAGGCUAACUACCGCACUUGUGCUUACUAGUCCAUCUGGUCCAGGAGGGUUGAGAUCUACGGUGAUGCGUCGUUUAAAGGAUUGGGUUGUGUGUUGUUACAACAUGAUAUGGUUGUUGCAUAUGCGUCCCGUUGAUUGAGACCUCGGGAGUUGAAUAUGAGACAGCGUCGCUGGAUGGAACUCAUUAAGGAUUAUGACUAUGAUAUUUUGUAUCACUCGGGAAAGGUGAGCAAAGUCGCAGAUGCACUGAGUCGAGAGUCCUUAGUUGCACAGUUGGUACUCAAGGAUUGGAUCUUAUUCGAGAAAGUCCAAAAUUCAGUUUUCAAAUCUAAGUGGACAGAUUCAGAAAUUCAGAAGACUCUAUAAGAGAAUGUAGAUGAGGGAGAGGUUGAUUUUCAGAUUUCUAAAGACAGGACGCAAAGGUUCUGAGGAUGAUUGUCUGUAGCUGAUGAUGCCGAGAUUAAAGAAGAUAUCUUAUGGGAAGCUCAUCAUAGCAAUUUCAACGUUGUCCAGACAGUACGAAUAGAUCUUGUUUUGAGUGUGUGACAUCUUGAUUUUCAGACUCUGAUUUCGAUUGGUUAAAUUUGGCAUUUCAUCGACGCGAUUACAGUGUUUUUCUCUGAGUUGGCCACUUACGAGAUAACUAGACUAGUUGGGUGAGUUAUUAAGGACUUUAAGGAAAAUAGACUUGAAAAUUCGACCAUGAAUCGACUUCUCGACCGUGCUCAUCUUUAGAGAUCAUUACGGCACAAUUAAAAAAAAAAAAUCGAAGUAAGAUCAGAAAUAGGUCCGUUCAACUGAGAUGAAUGACCGAUCGUGGGUGACUCCACUAAAUUGGAAAACUCUCGUCGACUGAUACUAAUUUGAUUAUAUUGUCGUUUUGGUACCUUGUGUCCGUAUUUGAAUCAUCGAAAUUUGCACAACACUCGAGAGUCGCCAAUGUGUCGAGUGAGUUCAUCGUGGCUCGAAGAAAAUCGACCACGGGUCAUUUGUCCUAAAGAGCUCUGAAAACUACCUAAUAGCCUAGGUCACACUAAAAACGUGUCGGAGUGAAAUUAACUGUCAAUCUAAGUUUGAUUUCAGAAAUUAAAGAUUCUGUCGUGUCACAAAGUGGGUAUACCGAAGUGUGUGUGCAUCAGAUAAUUCACCGGCAUGGAGUGCCGGAGAUGAAUUGUAUUUCAAUCUAGAUCAGAUGUUCCGAGUUGGCAGAGCUUUCAAAUGGUUCUUUCUUAAGCAGUGCAUAGCAGAGAGUGCAGAAUUUCAAUUGCUGAGAUGAAGUCAGGGAAAGAAAGAUCAGGCCAGGGUCAGUACAAUAUUCAGUGAUUGUAGUUGCCGAGAUCAGUGUCAGUGUUAUAUCAGAUCUUGACUAGAGGUUCUCAAUUUCAGCAAGUCAGUCAGAUAGUUUCUUUUUAAUCAGUGCAAAGCAGAGUGUACAGGACUUCAGUCGAUUGAGAUGAGAUCAGAGAUUAGAAAAUUGCAAGUCCAAAGUUGGUUCAGAAAUCAAUUAUUCAGUCACAGUUAGCAGAGACAGUCUUGAGUCUGCUCAGAAUCGCCAGUUUAGCUUCGCAGAUUUUGUGUUGAAGACCUUUGGAAUUUUAAGGGGGCAAAUGUUUAGUAUUUUGGAUCUGAAGUGGUUUGAGCAAGAUAGUAGUGAUCUGGCAACAUUGGUACAGAAGGAGUAACCUGAGAAAGAGAAGAUUAUAUGAGAUGACUGUACCCCCACCUUUUUGUUUAAGAAUUGGUAAAGGUUUAAAUUUCGAGGACGAAAUUUUUAUAAGAGGGGAAGAGUUGUGACAUCCUGAUUUUUCGAUUCUAUUUUCAAUAAAUUGAGACGAGCAUUUCGUUGGCACGCAUAUAGUUCUUUUCCUUGAGUCAGCCACUCAUGUGAAAACUAGUCUAUUGGGUGAAACCGUUAAGAGUUUCUAAUAUAUCAGACUCGAGAAUUUGAUUAGGAAGCGACCUUUCAACCGAGCUAAUCUACCAGGGUCAUUACGGCACAAUUAAAAAUCGAUUAGAGAUCGAAGAUAGGUCGACUCGAAAGAGGCAUGUGAUCAGGUGUGGGUGAUUCCACCAGAUCGCACAAUUCUUGUCGAUCGGCACUAGACCGACUUUUCUAUCGAUUGGGUACCCUAUUUUGGCCGCCUUCCCGAGCCCGGAUGCUCGGCCCGCCUUGAGGAAAGUCAAUCCUCGCAUCGUCCUCGUCGUUUUGGUCCGCUCGGCUCGCUAAUCCGGUGAGUUUAACUCACUAAAUCUUGAUUAGAGGGUUAAUGAUGCCCUAAGUGUGCUUAGUCUAAGUUAAGUAAGUUUAGGUGGUUAGAUUAGUUUAUUUGGUUGAUGAUUAGAUUAGGGUGUUUAAUUAAGUUAAAGUGUGUUUAGUUUAAGGUUAAGUAUGUUUAUCUUUAAUAUAAAGCCUUGAUGUGACAUAAUAGGGUUUUAUUUUUGAAUUAUUUAAUGAUUUCGAAUUCUGGAAUUUAUAAUAUUAUAUUAUAUUUCGAAAUUAUUAAAAUAUUAUUAUUUAAUUAUUUUCGGAAUAAAUUUAAUUAUUUAUUAAAUUCCGAAAAUUUUGUCAAGACCCUAAAUUCUCAGAAUUUCGUGCCGAUCACUGCUGUGUAGUCAGAUUUUGAAAUUGAUGAUUGGAUGUUAUAAAUCGAGUGUGGAUUGUGAAAGAUAGGGAUAUUAUUAUUUAAUUAAUUUUCGAAAUAAAUUUAAUUAUUAAAUAAAUUCCGAAAAUUAUUUUGGGACCCUAAAUUCUCAGAAUUUUGUGCCGAUCGCUGCUGUGUAUUCAGAUUAUGAAUUUGAUGAUUAGAUAUUACAAAUUGAGUGAUGAUUUGUGCAAUUGAUUAUUGAAUUGUUGUGUGCUGGUUGAAAGACUCGGGUCGCAGUAGUGGCUUGGCUGACUGGACCUUUGUUCUUUUAGAAAUGCUGUCAAGAGAGUGACGUGGCUCGGGUUACAAUAGUGGCUAGGCCGACUGGAUCCUUUGUUCUUCUAGAAAUGUCGUCAAGAGAGUGACGUGGCUCGGGUCGUAGUAGAGGCUAGGCCAACUGGACCCAUGCUCUUUCGGGAAUGCCGUCGACGUACUGACGAAGCCGCGCUCCAAGGUGGGGAGGCGAUGCCUGGUUAUAUGCCAGUAGAUAGCCGAACUGCGAGUAGGCUAUGCCCUUGUGUGACAGUGAAUAACAAUUGGAAUGCAUGUUGAGUGUUGUUGAUGUGUCGGAUUAUGGGACGGAAUUGUGUGGCAUGGAAUGGGAUGUGUCAUAACGAUUUAGUCUUAUAAUCAGGACUCCCGCGGUUGUUGGAUAUAUGAAAGUGAAUGCGUUCCGGUUGUUUAAGUUCCUAUUACUAUCUGUGAUUGAGUGAUUUGAAUUGUGCUAACCUGCAGGAAGGAACUGAGGUGAGGUAAAUAUUCUGUGUGAUGUGGCUAAGCCACUCGGGGUGUAUUUUCUUUCUAAUAGGGGUUUAGGGGGUUGAACUUGUUGAGACAUUGUCUCAUCCCGGUUGUGGGAUUAAAAUUUCAGGUCCCUAGAUGGCGGUCGUGGAGGACUCGAAGCCCUAAGUCUGGAAAGGUGGAGACUGAAGUAUCGGUGAACAUGUCCUGCUAAUUGGUUUUAGGAUGGUUCCCCUUUUUUCGAGCUGGUCUAUUUUGUAGACAGUCCAGAGUUAUAUUUAAACCUAUGUGUUUGUAAAUGAGUGUUUGGUAUUGUGAUUGAUUGCCUGCUUUUCUAUCCCAAGUUAAAUGUUGUCAGGGGAUUUGUUUCACUUCCGUGUGUGUAAUAAAAUGAAUGGGUCGGUGACGUAUCUUGGGAUGUCGCAUAUUUGAUCGACCGCAGUGGGAUGUGCGCGCGCUCGGGGUUCGGGGCGUGACAUGGAGUCUCAGUAAUAUAGCUUUCUCAUGGUCAUUUUCUACUUGUGAAGAUGACCAAGGAACGAUGGAUUGGAUAAAGUACAAAUGGGUCAUAAACAAUGUGCACAUUUCUGGCAAAUCGAAGUGAUUAGUUAACAUGUUGAUGUCAUCUACCUCCCAUAAAUAGCUUUUUCGUUAAUGAGAUGCAGCUCCAAAUGUGUAUUUCUUUCAUUAAUGAAGUCAUAAUGCCCUUUGCUAGUUAACAAAUCUCUAGACAAUCUGUAUUCUACCCUGAAAUUCUUGAGGAUCCAUAGCCAUGUACGAAUUGCUACUCACUGCACUUGUUUCAUAAAAAGCUGCUAAAUUAAUGAUACCAUUUAUACAGAUCACUUAGCCAAUGUGUUUUUCCAUAAGUUAUACCAAACUAGAUUCACAUAAAAGAUAACAAGGUGACGGAACCAUUUGACAACUGUAAAUCAAUCCGUAACAAUGUUGUGAUCCACUAUGACCACAUGUUCUUUAUUUUGCACGAAUUUCACAUACCAUUUCACAUCAAAAGUGGCAGACUGACUUUGAGUCCACCAUCGUUGCCCCGGGUUUAGGUUUGGAACAACUUUCUACCCCGUCUUUUGGUUUGAAAACAACUAAAAACUUGUUUCCAAAGUUAUCAAAAAGUCAAGGCUAAAGGCUAAAAAUGAGAGAACACUUUCCAGUGGAUUCAAAUAAAACAAUUUUCUGAGAAUACCAAACACAUCAAUUUUGGAAAGUGAACACAGAAAAUCAACAAUAUCAUUUUGAUUUACGGUGUAGUUUCUCCUUGUAAUAUUUGAACUAUUUUGACGCAAUGGAAGGUUUGUUUCAGCAAAAAAAAAAAAAAAAAAAAACCUAUUAACUAAUGAAGAGGACCACUUAUCGAAUUUACGAACAAGUGGUAAUUUACCCUUAGGAUUUAGGAUUGUAAAAUUACUAUUUCACUCAUCACUCACUAAUAGUUGAUUGGACUGAUAAGUUCCUAAUAAGUAAAAAAUUACGGGCGAUAUCUCAAAUUUGCCAUCAAUUAUUCAAAAUUUCCAUACACAGAAUGAAUUUCAAUUUUUGGCAAAAGGAAUGUUAGAAAUCUACUAGUUCCAACUUAUCUUAGCACUUCAUGUUCUUUCCAUCUGAACAACAUCGAAGUAUACAUUUUCAUUAUAGCUUUAUUUACGCAUACUGAGUGAAUGCUUCAACCUGGAUUACUGGGAAUGCAAUAGAUCAUAUUGCCCUGCUGAUUUAAUUCAAGAACAGUAUAAAAUAAAAAAUAAAAAAUAAUGUUAUUUUGGCUGAGAAAUCAUUUGAACCUUGACGGAUGGUAAAUGUAUCACGUAGGUAUAAGCUUAGAGUUUUUUUAUAUUAUAAAAAAAAAAAAAGAAUUUUAGAGUAAAUGUGUAACAGUGGACAUACUUUGAUAUUUUUGAUGUCACAAAAAAAAAAUUAUGGGUCAAUGUGUCACAGGUGGGCAUAAUUUAGGAUUUUUAUAAUUUUUGUUUAACCAUAGAAUUUUCUGAACUAAUUGCUUUAAGGCCACAACAAAAAAUCCUUUUUUUUUUAAAAGCAAAAGGGCACGGGAGUACUUUCCCACGCCUACCCAUCGGAUCCAUCCGCAUCGAGAGAGUUUCACUCGGGAGCAAUUAUUUGGAAGUGCGAGUUCCCGCACCCACCGAGCAGAUGCAUUCGACUUUCAUGAUUUUUCGGUCAACAUCUAAUUCCAGAUUUCUGGGUCAUGGAUGCUUCCCGUGCUUUGCACGGUCUACUCCUUGUGGAAUCAGAGCACAUUGCGGCAGACAGAAACUAGCGAACAACAAAUGUCUGGAAGAAAAAGUUCCGUUUGUCCGCGGGAUUAGAGCAUUCAACUUGCGAGACCCGUCAAGUACCAAAACACACACACACACACACACACUAAUGCCUCUUUUUCAUGGAAAAUAAUGACAGUCCCUCAUUCAGCGACCAGGGCACAGUAACGUACUAACGUCGAGCUUUCAGCGACCAGGGCACAGUAACGUACUAACGUCGAGCUUCUCAAACAUUCAGUAGGGUGGGGAAUGUUAUAUGUAGACAUAUAUUAUACACAUUUACUUGUAAUAUCUAUUCUCCCUAUUUUUAUGUUUUAUUUUAUUCUUGUAUGUUCUAAAGAAGGAAGGGAAAAAAAAGUGUUGGUCAACGUUGUCGACAGAGACAGCACAGAAGCAAUAAACCCUUGGAAGUAUGGGAAAUGGCUCAAAUUGUCUUGUAUCGAUGUGGUCAUAUAGAAAUCUUUGUCUCGCGAUUUUGUUUAGAAAUACAAAGUCCAACGUAAUUCCUUGUUUGAGAGGAAUUACCGCAUGAUUUCUGCUAAAUUUGGCAAACGAACAUUCUUGUAAAGUAGGGAUCUUACUUUAUCAUGUUACACCAUCAAGUUGCUCCUCAUAAAAAAACAAACUAAAGUUUCCAUCAAUAUGAAUAUAUGUCGAUAGUUUAAUUUUGUCCAAAAUUGUGUGCAUUUAAACUAGAUUGGUAUAGCAACAAGAUGCUAAUUACUUUGAAGUUGUUUGUCUUUGGCUUUACGAACAAGAUCAGUGAACAUCGAUUAGCAGCAAUUUCAAUGCACGAGUGUAAUAGAGAUAUUAAAAUCUUUCAUAUCAACUAGAAGAAAGAAAAGAAGUUCCUUUUAUACGGGAUGGCAAUCGCCGAUCAUGGUGGUUGGGAUUAUUUUAUAAAGAAACAAUUCACACUUAGCAACUUUAUCUUGCGUUGCAUCUGUGUUUCGAUUCUCUAAAUUGGCCACCUUUUUCGUUAGGGUGGGUAAGACUCUGAGGUUGCUAUCUUGUUGCAACUGCUUGUAAGCCAAAAAGGUAGUAUAUAAAGAACCUGAGAAGAUAAUUCCACUCCAGUAGCCCCCCGCUACAAUUCCGGCUUUUGGUUAUUCCCUCAAGAAGCUUCCCAGAUAUCAAAACAACUUUCAUGGCUGUCGAUCUCAGAGCCGAGAGGACCUUGUUUAGGGGACUGGAACAUCAAAAGGUUGAUGCUAUUGUUUUGGAGUUGGCGGAGGAAAUUUCGUUUGAGAGGGAUGCUGCUGAAGUUGAGAGUGCCUAUCAUCUGCAUUUGCAACUUGUUUCUGGGGUCCAACUUUCACUUCCAGAGAGGAUUGAUGUUGAUGAGAACGCGCUUAUUUCAUUAUCCAGAGGACACUCUCAGACAACUAAGGGCGAAGACCUUAUCGUUGACUUUGAAUGGCCUCGACUGACUUUCCGAACCCCUCUAUUGGUCAUUCACAGCAACAACGGUCUUCUUCAUGCUCCGUUUUCCUAUGGACUUUGUAGCUAACAGGAACAAAAACUAGUUUGUCCUUAUAAAUUGAUGAAUGAUGCUAGAAACAGUAGUGUAAGUUCAUAAAAUCGGUUUAUUAAGUGCAUUAGGCAUUUAAAGGAGUGAGCCAAAUUUAAACGAUAACAGAAGUUCGCCAUACGGACAAGUACACCAACUUUGUAAAUCAAUUUUGUUUCUCACAUUGCUCUAAAUUUAUUAUUUGAGCAAGCACUUAUCUAGAUGUGGAGGAAUGCGCCCUUGAGAGUUAUUCCCAUCAAGAUACAAAUAAAUCAAUUUGCUUAGAUUUUUGCAUGAAAAUGCAGUUACCCCAGAGAGAUUGUUGAUCGAGAGACAUACGUAAGAUUUUGAAUAUUUUUCAAGUCAAAUGGGAUUGUACAUGAAAGAUUGUUGCCAUCCUCAUAUGACUUUUCUAAGUUCACGAGAUUCUCAAUUGCUCUGGGGAUCUCGCCGGUUAUAUUAUUCACGACCUCCUCUCUAGAAAAAGGUUUGGGCAAGAAAAAACCUGAAUAAGAGAAAACGAGAAAUAAGAUAAAUGUACCAACGGAAGAGGCUUUCUAAGAACAGAGAGGUAAUUAUGCAGUUGCAUGAUUCCCGCACAAGGGAUUCGCCAUCUUUUUACAGGUGAUGUACCAAUAAUUCUCUAGGGCAAGUAGAAAAUAAAGGGGAAAUUUUAGAAUAUAUAGUAAAGUGCAUAGCCAAUAAGUCAGAACCUUGUGUUGUACACAAAAAAAUUUCAAAGAUAGAAACUCGGAACUUCAGAUGUCUAAGCUUACACCGUCUGAAAUUGCUACAGUUCUUUUUGAAUUCUGCAAAAUGCAUAGCUAAUGACCUCUCCGCUUUCUAAGAUGAAGAUUCCCAAAAAUUAAAAUGGAAGAAAAAACUAUGGCCAAUGAUCAUAUGGAUAUAAUGGCCAUCUUCCUAUUCUUUUCUAAGGCAGAGUGAGGAGUACUAUCCGAUUAGUCGACUUUUUCUAUUUUGUCCGUGCAGUGGACUAAAAUGUCUUGAAAUUCCUAUUAAUGAGAGGAAAUUUGUUCAUUUAAUCCAUUUGACGAACUUGAUUAUCAUGAUUUGGUCUUCAUCAUAAAUUUGAUAAUGACUAUUACCUUGACUUCCAAGUUAUUUGUGUUGGCGAUGCAUGUUUCACUUAAAACUAGAUUUCUGCCAAUGAAAGUCAUUCCCCCUUGGUGAGAUGAUGCAAUAACAUAAUUUGCUCUCCCAAGUAGAGGAUUUAGGUAAUGUAGGACUCGAGUUUGCAUCGUAGAUGAAAGUAUCCAGAAAAACUUACGUAGUAGUCUUUUUUCCUAGACAUACAUCGUGCGGGAUGUACCAGCAUAAUGUCUGCUCGUAUUAAUAGAUAAUUGAACUAUUUAACUAGCAUAAAAGAUAGAAAAGGAUAAAUGUAUCGUUCAGACAACUUUAAGAGACGUAUACUGGCUUGCCUGUAAGCCUUUUCUUUUCAAUAAUCCGGAUAUACAGUACAGCUGUAUGGAUGACAGCAUCAUUCCUAAUACUUCGUUCUCCUCUCACAUGCCAACUUUCGUCUUAAAGGAAUAAUGAAACACACCUAUGUUCUUCACGGUCUAAACUAUUCAUAGUCUACAUCAGAACUCGAUUCACCAACCUCACAACACGUUAGAGAAGCAGUUAUCCCACAUUUGCAUCAGAGAUGAAGACCUUCUGCCACGUCUCUCUACCUCCCGGAAGGACGAAGACAUUGUCAUUGAAUUCGAGUCUAAAGGUUCUCAUAUGCCAUAGUGGUUCCAAGCCACUUUGUUUCAUCGGAUGGCUUCACUCUUUUUCCAAGCCACUUUGGUUCUGCAUGAUGAUUUUAUUACUUCCAUGGCUCCAUCUUCGCAUUACCAGACAAUUGAAUUUAUCUAGAUAUGAAAAAAAAAAUGCGUAAAGUCAGGCGCUUGUCAAUGCAUAAGUGGUUCAGUUUGGCAUGAUUUGCAGGAUGUACUAGAAAAACUUACUGCUUUAGUAUAUCACCUAUCCUCAUAAGCCAGUUGCGUAAAGUCUGUCCCUAAUCGAACGUAGUUGAGCUGUUACAUCUGUGAUGCUCAUUCGAUCUCUUGGGACUCCAAGUGAGCAGGCGAUCCCAAUUUUGUAGAUCAUCAGCAGACAAUUUUGGAUUGUACUCUUUCUGCUUUGGCCGACACUGCUCUCUACUUCUUGAACUAGAAUGUGAUCGGUAAUCUCUAGGACUCGUUUAGGCAAAGCUUCCUUGACAAAGUUAUGAAGGUUCGAAUUUUCUUUGAAUAUCUCAGUUGUCGGACUAAUUCCUGUGAACAUCUCUAGCAUGAGGAUGCCAUAACUAUAGACAUCCCCUUCAAUGGAAACCCCACUUCCCAUUCCAUAUUCUGCACUUAUCAAGAACCACAAAUGGUUGAGUUAUGAGAAAAUAGCAUGUGCACAAUCUUAUUUUGAAGUCCAUAGUUUUGUGAAAAGAUGCAUCAGCAAUUUUGUGAUAAACAAAUUAUUCAUUUGAGGGAGCUAGGGACACAAGGGGACAUACCUGGAGCAGCAUAACCAAUUGUUCCUCUCAAACCAGCUGAGCUUAUAUUUGUGUUCGUGUAAGAAGUGGAUUCAAGGAUGAACUUUGCCAAUCCAAAGUCACCAACAUGUCCAACCAUCUCUGCAUCUAAAAGCACAUUGCUUGGCUUUAGAUCACAAUGAACUAUGGUGUUGUGGCAUUGGUUAUGAAGAUAUUCCAAUGCAAAAGCAAUGUCGAUGGUAAUCUUUAUCCUUUGGAUGAGAUUCAAAAUUUUUGAGGGCCCAUCCACAUCAGCUGGUAUUGGACAUGGGUGCAACCACUCUUUGAGGCUACCAUUGACCAUGAGCUCAAAGACUAAAGCCUUAAACUCAUUUCCGUUAUAAUCAAUACCUGAGCAUACUGUUAGUAUCUUCAAAAGAUUUCGGUGUUUGAUACACUUUAGGGCCUCACACUCAGCUUUGAAGCUCUUGAGAGCACCAUGGUGCAUUAAAUUAAGCACCUUCACGGCAACAUUAGUCCCAUUCUCCUGGAGUAUUCCCUUGUAAACGGAUCCAAAACUACCAACACCAAUCAAAUUAGCUGAAGAAAAACCAUUAGUUGCUUUGAGAAGAGUUCCAUAAGAUAAGUUUUGCCAGCUUUCAACUAUGGAACUUGAAGUUGGUUCUUGUGCUUUCUUCUUCUUCAACCAACAUACAUACACAAAAAUGAGAACAAGAAGCACCCCUAUAAGCCCAAAAAUAAUAGAGAGCAAGAGUUUCAAUUUAUGAACUACUCCUUUGCUCUUGGAGUGUCUGGAGACGCAUUUAGGUAGCUGAAAUUCCGGGAUUCCUCCACAUAUCUUGUUGUUUCCAGCAACAAAAGUGGCACUCGCAUUCUUGAAGACUCCUUCGGUUGGUAAUGUGCCUUCAAAAUUGUUAUAGGAUAAAUUCAGAUAUUUCAGGAAAUCGAAUGCCGCUAAGAACUUCGGAAUCUCACCCGAGAGAUUGUUAUUCGAAAGAUCCAAUUCCUCAAUACUUCUUAAUGAGCUAAUUGAUUGAGGAAUGGAUCCUUGGAAGUGGUUAUCCUUCAUUACUAAUACUACCAAUGCAUUACAAUCGCCUAGAGUGCUUGGAAUUUCACCACUAAACAUAUUGCCUGAGAUGUUCAAAGUAUCUAAAUGGUCAAUUUGCCCCACUUCCACCGGAAGGGCCCCACUCAAAUGGUUGUUAGACAAAUCUAAAGAAAUGAGAGUUUUAACUGCCGGGAAUAUGGAACCACUGAGAUUGUUGUUAGAAAGAUUGAGCCAUGUUAGACUACAAUUAUCUAGAUGUGAAGGUAUGGGUCCAUGAAACUGAUUAUUGGAAAGUAGUAAUUUAAUCAAUCGCUUCAUCUUCUGCAAAGAGGAUGGAAUUACCCCAGAUAGAUUGUUAUAGGAGAGACUCAGAAAUACCAGAUUUUGAAGAUUUCCCAAAUCAAUUGGGAUAGCACCUGAAAAACUGUUCUCUUCCAUUGUCAAGAUCUCCAAGUUCACAAAAUUGCUGAUUUCUCUAGGAAUCUCACCGGUGAUAAGAUUUCCUCCCAAAAAUAAUUGUUCGAUAGCAAUGGAGAAAUUACCAAUGCAUCUCGACAAUAGCCCACCGAAUCUAUUACCAGCAACACUUAAGAAAAGUAAGCUAGUGAUAUUAGUUAAUGAGCAAAGGAAUUUCAAGUCACCAGAUCCCCCACUUCCGAGGCGAUUAAAUUGAAUGUUCAACCAUUGAACGUUAUGCAAACUUUCAAAAGAUGGUACUUUCCCUGAGAAUUUGUUGCUUGAAAGUUGAAGUAUCGUUAGCUUUGUAGCAUUAUUAGGUAUCCACGGGGGGAUUGAGCCAACAAAUUGGUUUGAGGCGAUGCUGAAAUAUUGUAAGUUUGGGAGACCAAAGCCUAUUGUAGUGGGAAGACUUCCAUGUAUCUGAUUAUAUCCUACCUCAAAUUUUUCCAAUGAAGAUAAAUUGAAGAGGGAAGGUGGAAUAGUACCAGACAACCUGUUCUGUAGAAAAGUAAGUAUCGAUAGUUUGGUCAGUUGGCCUAGAGCUCGAGGAAGACUCCCGAUUAAGUAAUUCUUGCUAAGGGAAACAACCUCCAAUGAUGAUAAGUUGCCAAUUGAAGAAGGGAUACUUCCUCUUAGAUUAUUUGCUGAUCCAUAAAGAAAGCGAAGCUUUGCCAUAGAACCUAUUUCUGGAGGCACUUCUCCACUCAAUUGGUUUCUAGACAAUCUGACAUGGAGGAGGUCGAGGCAACCUGAUAUGUUCUUGGGGAUUUCACCCAUGAGAGAAUUAUUGGCUAGCGACAAGUUGCGUAACCGGUGCAACCGCCCGAUUUGCGGAGGAAUUUCAUGGUAAAAGCUAUUAUUAUAGAGCCACAAUACCUUUAAGAAGCUAAGGUUCCCGAUAUGAGGGGAGAUAGACCCUGAGAGUUUCUGGGAAUACAGGGCCAACGUAGUGACUUUGUUGGGGUGCCGGCGACUGCAUGUGACGCCAUACCAUUGGCAAAGGUUGACGGUAUUAUUCCAGGAGCUAAGCACCCCAAAGGGGUCCUCGGUUAUCCCAUCCUUGAAUGCAAGCAAUGCGGAUUUGUCGGUUUCAUUUGAUGAUGAGGAGACUCGUACAAAGCACGAUGCAGUGGCAAUUGCAAAAACGAAACAACGAAAUUGUGAGUUUGCAAAACUAAAGCCGACGAGUUGCAUGACUCAAAGCAGAAGUGGACCGAAGGGCUGAGCAGGGAGAUUAAUAAAGGAUGAGAGACGUGAUGUGUAAUUUAGGCAUGGUUUAACCAUCUCAUUAACAACUACCAAGAGAUUUAUAGAGUAUCGGGAUUUUGGAGAGAGCCUACUUGUUCUGGUCUCAAAAGUCAUUUAUUGAUUACCUUUAUGAUUAAUCAGCAAAAUUGGUGAAAAAAAAAAAAAAAAAAAAAGGCAAGAAAGAUGUAUACAUCGAUGUAAGCGUUAUCUCUACGGCAGAAUAAAAUAAAAAAUUAAUGAAAGUCAAAUUGAUUUUCCACAACAAGCAAAUGAAAAUGAUUACGGAAGGAGCACGCCAUUGUUGGCGUAAGGUACACACGAGAAAAUUAUCUGUGGGAAAUUGGAAUGUGUAAAAGAUAAGAGAAGUGUGCGAAUAGUGUGAAAUGCUCCCAGUAAAUCCAUCAAUUAUGCAAAGAUGGUUCCUCUGCCCUGGACCAUUGUGCGAUACUUAGGCAGUUUUUACUUUGUGCCCUUUCAACAAAGACAAUAAAUUCUGCAGAUUUUUUAUUUUUUUUUAGGAUAGUCAUAAGUUUGUGCUAAAAGUUUAGGAAAUUUGCAAUUAGCAAUUAAUUCAUAUAUAUAAUUUCAUAUUAAUCUCUGUCGAAUGUGAUUUCUCGAAACUGAUAUUAAAUAAAAAAUAGUGGCUGGUUUCAUAUUAAUCUUAUCCAUUUUCGAUGCACUUUCAAGACUCGUGAGAAAAAAAAAGGUAUCGGUGCUUUUUCUUUCUUUUUUUGCCCUUUUGGAGUCUCAGUAAUACAGCUUUCUCAUGGUCAUAUUCUACUAGUGAAGAUGACCAAGGAACAAUGGAUUGGAUAAAGUACAAAUGGGUCAUAAAUAAUGUGCACAUUUCUGGCAAAUCGAAGUGAUUAGGUAACAUAUUGAUGUCAUCUACCUUCCAUAGAUAGCCUUUCGUCAAUGAGAUGCAGCUCUGAAUGUGUAUUUCUUUCAUUAAUGAAGUCAUAAUGCUCUUUGCUAGUAAACAAAUCUCUAGACAAUCUGUGUUCUACCCUGAAAUUCUUCAGGAUCCAUAACCAUGUACAAAUUGCUACUCACAGCCCUUGUUUCAUAAAAGCUACUAAAUUAAUGAUACAAUUUGUACAGAUCACUUAGCCAAUGUGUUUUUUCGUAAGUUAUACCAAAACUAGAUCCACGUAAAAGAUAACAAGGUGACGGAACCAUUUGACAAUUGUAGGUCAAUCUAUAACAAUGUUGUGAUCCACAAUGGCCACAUAUUCUUUAUUUUGCAUGAAUUUCACAUACCAUUUCACAUCAAAAGGGGCAGACCGACUUUGAGUCCACCAUCGUUGCCCCGGGUUUAGGUUUGGGAACAACUUUCUUCCUCGUAAAACAACUAAAAACUUGUUUCCAAAGUUUUCAAAAAGUCAAGGCUAAAGGCUAAAAAUAAGAGAACUUUCCAAUGGAUUCAAAUAAAACAAUUUUUCCGAGAAUACCAAACACAUCAAUUUUGGAAAGUGAACAUGAAAAAUCGACAAUAUCAUCUUGAUUUACGCAGUAAUUUCUCCUUGUAAAGUGAACAUGUUCUUUAUUUUGCAUGAAUUUCACAUACCAUUUCACAUCAAAAGGGGCGGACUGACUUUGAGUCCACCAUCAUUGCCCCGGUUUUAGGUUUAGGAACAACUUUCUACCCCGUCUUUUGGUUUGAAAGCAACUAGAAACUUGUUUCCAAAGUUAUCAAAAAGUCAAGGCUAAAGGCCAAAAAUGAGAGAACACUUUCCAGUGGAUUCAAAUAAAACAAUUCUUCUGAGAAUACCAAACACAUCAAUUUUGGAAAGUGAACACGGUAAAUCAACAAUAUUAUCUUGAUUUAUGUUGUAGUUUCUCAUUGUAAUAUUUGAACUAUUUUGAUGCAAUGGAAGGUUUGUUUCAGCAAAAAACAAAGAACUUAUUAACUAAUGAAGAGGACCACUUAUCGAAUUUAAGAACAAGUGGUAAUUUACCCUUAGGAUUUAGGAUUGUAAAAUUACUAUUUCCUUCAUCACUCACUAAUAGUUGACUAGACUUAUAAGUUCCUAAUAAGUAAAAAAUUACAGGCGAUAUCUCAAAUUUGCCAUCAGUUAUUCAAAAUUUCCAUACACAGAAUGAAUUUCAAUUUUUGGCAAAUGGAAUGUUAGAAAUCUACUAGUUCCAACUUAUCUUAUCACUUUAUGUUCUUUUCCAUCUGAAUAACAUCGAAGUAUACAUUUCCAUCAGCUUUAUUUAGGCAUACUGAGUGAAUGCUUCAACCCGAAUUUUUGGGAAUGCAAUAGAUCAAAUAGCCCUACUGAUUUUAUUCAAGAAUAUUAUGAAAUAAAAAAUAAAUAAAAAAAUAAUGUUAUUUGGCUGAAAAAUCAUAUGAACCUUGACGGAUGGUAAAUAUGUCACGUAGGUAUAAACUUAGAGUUUUUUAUAUUAUAAAAAGAAAAAGUUUAGAGUAAAUGUGUCAUAAUGGACAUAUUUUGAUAUUUUUGAUGUCACAAAAAAAAUUCUGGGUCAAUGUGUCAAUGGUGGGCACAAUUUAGGAUUUUUAUGAUUUUUGUUUAACCAUAGAAUUUUCUGAACUAAUUGCUUUAAGGCCACAACAAAAAAUUCAUUUUUAAAAAUGUAAAAGGGCACGGGAGUACUUUCCCACACCUACCCAUCGGAUCCAUCCGCAUCGAGAGAGUUUUACUCGGGAGCAAUUGUUUUGAAGUGCGACUUCCCCCACCCACUGAGCAGAUGCAUUCGACUUUCAUGAUUUCUCGGUCAACAUCUAAUUCCAGAUAUCUAAGUCAUGGAUGCUUCCCGUGCUUUGCACGGUCUACUCCUUGUGGAAUUAGAGCACAUUGCGGCAGACAGAAACUAGCGGCCAACAAAACUCUGGAAGAAAGAGUUUCGUUUGUCCGCGGGAUUAGAGCAUUCAACUUGCGAGACUUGUCAAGUACCAAAACACACACACACACUAACGCCUCUUUUCCAUGGAAAAAUAAUGACAGUCCCUCAUUCAGCGACCAGGGCACAGUAACGUACUAACGUCGAGCUUCUCAAACAUUCAGUAGGGUGGGGAAUGUUAUAUGUAGACAUAUAUUAUACACAUUUACUUGUAAUAUCUAUUUUCCCUAUUUUUCUGUUUUAUUUUAUUCUUGUAUGUUCUAAAGAAGGAAGGGGAAAAAAAGUGCUGGUCAAAGUUGUCGACAGAGACAGCACAGAAGCAAUAAACCCUUGGAAGUAUGGGAAAUGGCUCAAAUUGUCUUGUAUCAAUUUGGUCAUAUAGAAAUCUUUGUCUUGCGAUUUUGUUUAGAAAUACAAAGUCCAACAUAAAUCCUUAUUUGAGAGGAAUUACCGCAUGAUUUCUGCUUAAUUUAGCAAAUGAACAUUCUUGUAAAGUAGGCAUCUUACUUUAUCAUGUUACGCCAUCAAGUUGCUCCUCAUAAAAAAUCAAACUGAAGUUUCCAUCACUAUGAAUAUAUGUCGAUAGUUUAAUUUAGUCCAAAUUUAUGUGCAUUUAAACUAGAUUGGUAUAGCAACAAGAUGCUAAUUACUUUGAAGUUGUUUGUCUUUGGCUCUAUGAACAAGAUCAGUGAACAUCGAUUAGCCACGAUUUCAAUACACGUCUGUAAUAGAAAUAUUAAAAUCUUUCUUAUCAACUAGAAGAAAGGAAAGAAGUUCCUCUUAUACGAUGAUGGCAAUCGCUGAUCAUGGUGGUUGGGAUUAUUUUAUAAAGAAACAAUUCACACUUAGCAACUUUAUCUUGCGUUGCAUCUGUGUUUCGACUGUCUAAAUUGGCCAUCUUUUUUCUUUAGGGUGGGUAAGACCUGAGGUUGCUACUUUGUUAUAACUGCUUGUAAGCCAAACAGGUAGUAUAUGAAGAACUCAAGAAGAUAAUUCCACUCCAGUAGCCCCUGCUACAAUUCUGGCUUUUGGUUAUUCCCUCAAGAAGCUUCCCAGAUAUCAAAAAAACUUUCAUGGCUGUCGAUCGCAGAGCCGAGACGACCUUGUUUAGUGAACUAGAACAUCAAGAGGUUGAUGCUAUUGUUUUGGAGUUGGCGGAGGAAAUUUCGUAUGAAAGGGAUGCCGCUGAAGUUGACAGUGCCUAUCAUCUGCAUUUGCAACUUGUUUCUGGGGUCCAACUUUCACUUCCAGAGAGGAUUGAUGUUGACGAGAACGCGCUUAUUUCAUUAUCCAGAGGACACUCUCAGACAACUAAGGGCGAAGACCUUAUCGUUGACUUUGAGUCUUCAUGUGUCUGUAUUCCGACAUUCAUUGAAUGGCCUCGACUGACUUUCCGACCCCCUCUAUUGGUCAUUCACAGCAACAACGGUCUUCUUCAUGCUCCGUUUUCCUUUGGACUUAGUAGCUAACAUGAAAAAAAACUAGUUUGUCCUUAUACAUUGAUGAAUGAUGCUAGAAACAGUAGUGUUAGUUCAUAAAAUUGGUUUAUUAAGUGCAUUAGGCAUUUAAACGAGUGAGCCAAAUUUAAACGAUAACAGAAGUUCGCCAUACGGACAAGUACACCAACUUUGUAAAUCAAUUUUGUUUCUCACAUUGCUCUAAAUUUAUUAUUUGAGCAAGCACUUAUCUAGAUGUGGAGGAAUGCGUCCUUGAAAGUUAUUCCUAUCAAGAUACAGAUAAAUCAAUUUGCUUAGAUUUUUGCAUGAAAAUGCAGUUACCCCAGAGAGAUUGUUGAUCGAGAGACAUACGUAAGAUUUUGAAUAUUCUUCAAGUCAAAUGGGAUUGUACAUGAAAGAUCGUUGCCAUCCUCAUACAACUUUUCUAAGUUCACGAGAUUCUCAAUUGCUCUUGGGAUCUCGCCGGUUAUAUUAUUCACGACCUCCUCUUCAGAAAAAGGUUUGGGCAAGAAAAAACCAGAAUAGGAGAAAACGAGAAAUAAGAUAAAUGUACCCACGGAAGAGGCUUUCUCAGAAAAAGAGAGGUAAUUAUGCAGUUGCAUGAUUCCCGCACAAGGGAUUCGCCAUCUUUUUACAGGUGAUGUACCAAUGAUUCUCUAGUGCAAGUAGAAAAUAAAGGGAAAAUUUUAGAAUCUAUAGUGAAGUGCACAGCCAUAAGUCAGAACCCUUGAUUUGUACACAAAAAUUUUUCAAAGAUAGAAACUCGGAACUUCAGAUGUCUAAGCUUACACCGUCUGNNNNNNNNNNNNNNNNNNNNNNNNNNNNNNNNNNNNNNNNNNNNNNNNNNNNNNNNNNNNNNNNNNNNNNNNNNNNNNNNNNNNNNNNNNNNNNNNNNNNNNNNNNNNNNNNNCAUAUGGAUAUAAUGGCCGUCUUCCUAUUCUUUUCUAAGGCAGAGUGAGGAGUACUAUCCGAUUAGUCGACUUUUUUCUAUUUUGUCCGUGCAGUGGACUAAAAUGUCUUGAAAUUCCUAUUAAUGAGAGGAAAUUUGUUCAUUUAAUCCAUUUGAUGAACUUGAUUAUCAUGAUUUGGUCUUCAUCAUAAAUUUGAUAAUGACUAUUACCUUUACUUCCAAGUUAUUUGUGUUGGCGAUGCAUGUUUCACUUAAAACUAGAUUUCUGCCAAUGAAAGUCAUUCCCGCUUGGUGAGAUGAUGCAAUAACAUAAUUUGCUCUCCCAAGUGGAGGAUUUAGGUAAUGUAGGACUUAAGUUUGCAUCGUACAUGAAAGUAUCCAGAAAAACUCACGUAGUAGUCUUUUUCCCUAGACAUACAUCGCGCGGGAUGUGCCAGCAUAAUGUCUACUCGUAUUAAUAGAUAAUUGAACUAUUUAACUAGCAUAAAAGUUAGAAAAGGAUAAAUGUAUCGUUCAGAUAACUUUUAGAGACAUAUACUGGCUUGCCUGUAAGCCUUUUCUUUUCAAUAAUCCGGAUAUACAGUACAGCUGUAUGGAUGACAGCAUCAUUCCUAAUACUUCGUUCUCCUCUCUCAUGCCAACUUUCGUCUUAAAGGAAUAAUGAAACACACCUAUGUUCUUCACGGUCUAAACUAUUCAUAGUCUACAUCAGAACAUUCACCAACCUCACAGCACGUUAGAGAAGCAGUUGUCCCACAUUUGCAUCAGAGAUGAAGACCUUCUGCCACGUCUCCCUACCUCCCGGAGGACGAAGACAUUGUCAUUGAAUUCGAGUUAACUAAAGGUUCCCAUAUGCCAUAGUGGUUCCAAGCCACUUUGGUUCAUCGGAUGGCUCCACUAUUUUUCCAAGCCACUUUGGUUCUGCAUGAUGAUUUUAUUACUUUCAUGGCUCCAUCUUCGCAUUACCAGAUAAUUGAGUUUAUCCAGAUAUGAAAAAAGAAAAAAAUGCGUAAUGUCAGGUGCUUGUCAAUGCAUAACUGGUUCAGUUUGGCAUGAUUUGCAGGAUGUACUAAAAAAACUUACUGCUUUAGUAUAACUCCUAUCCUCCUAAGCCAGCUGCGUAAAGUCUGUCCCUAAUCGAACAUAGUUGAGCUGUCACAUCUGUGAUGCUCAUUCGAUCUCUUGGGACUCCAACUGAGCAGGCAAUCCCAAUUUUGUAGAUCAUCAGCAGACAAUUUUGGAUUGUACUCUUUCUGCUUUGGCCUGCAUUGCUCUCUACUUCUUGAACUAGAAUGGGAUCAGUAAUCGCUAGGACUCGUUUAGGUAAAGCUUCCUCGACAAAAUUAUGAAGGUUGAAAUUUUCUUUGAAUAUCUCAGCUGUCGGACUAAUUCCUGUGAACAUUUCUAGCAUGAGGAUGCCAUAACUAUAGACAUCCCCUUCAAUGGAAACCCCACUUCCCAUUCCAUAUUCUGCACUUAACAAGAACCACAAAUGGUUGAAUUAUGAGAAAAUAGCAUGUGCACAAUCUCAUUUUGAAGUCAAUCUCAUUUUGAAGUCCAAAGUUCUGUAAAAAGAUGCAUCAGCAAUUUUGUGAUAAACAAAUUCUUCAUUUGAGGCAGCUAAGGACACAAUGGGACAUACCUGGAGCAACAUAACCAAUUGUUCCUCUCAAACCAGCUGAGCUUAUAUUUGUGUUCGUGUAAGAAGUGGGUUCAAGGAUGAAUUUUGCCAAUCCAAAGUCACCAACAUGUCCAACCAUCUCUGUGUCUAAAAGGACAUUGCUUGGCUUUAGAUCACAAUGAACUAUGGUGUUGUGGCAUUGGUUAUGAAGAUAUUCCAAUGCAAAAGCAAUGUCGAUGGUAAUCUUUAUCCUUUGAAUGAGAUUCAAAAUUUUUGAGGGCCCAUCCACAUCAGCUGGUAUUGGACAUGGGUGCAACCACUCUUUGAGGCUACCAUUCACCAUGAACUCAUAGACAAAAGCCUUAAAGUCAUAUCCGUUAUAAUCAAUACCUGAGCAUACUGUUAGUAUCUUCAAAAGAUUUCGGUGUUUGAUACACUUUAGGGCCUCACACUCAGAUUUGAAGCUCUUGAAAGCGCCAUGGCGCAUUAAAUUAAGCACCUUCACGGCAACAUUAGUCCCACUCUCCUGGAGUAUUCCCUGGUAAACGGAUCCAAAACUACCAACACCGAUCAAAUUAGUUGAAGAAAAACCAUUAGUUGCUUUGAGAAGAGUUCCAUAAGAUAAGUUUGGCCAGCUCUCAGCUAUGGAACUUGAAGUUGGUUCUUGUGCUUUCUUCUUCUUCAGCCAACAUACAUACACAAAAAUGAGAACAAGAACCACCCCAAGAAGCCCAAAAAUAAUAGAGAGCAAGAAUUUCAAUUUAUGAACUACUCCUUUGCCCUUGGAGUGUCCGGAGACGCAUUUAGGUCGCCGAAAUUCUGGGAUUCCUCCACAUAUCUUGUUGUUUCCAGCAAUAAAAGUGGCACUCGCAUUCUUGAAGACUCCUUCGGUUGGUAACAUGCCUUCAAAAUUGUUAUAGGAUAAAUUUAGAAAUUUCAAGAAAUCGAAUGCCGCUAAGAACUUCGGAAUCUCACCUGAGAGAUUGUUAUUCGAAAGAUCCAAUUCCUCAAUACUUCUUAAUGAGCUAAUUGAUUGAGGAAUGGAUCCUUGGAAGUGAUUAUCCUUCAUUACUAAUAUUACUAAUGCAUUACAAUCGCCUAGAGUGCUUGGAAUUUCACCACUAAACAUAUUGCCUGAGAUGUUCAAAGUAUCUAAAUGGCCAAUUUGCCCCACUUCCACCGGAAGGGCCCCGCUCAAAUGGUUGUUAGACAAAUCUAAAUAAAUGAGACUUUUAAUCGCCGGGAAUAUGGAACCACUGAGAUUGUUGUGAGAAAGAUCGAGCUCCAUUAGAUUACAAUUAUCUAGAUGUGAAGGUAUGUGUCCGUGAAAUUGAUUCCCGGGAAGAAGUAAUUUAAUCAAUCGCUUCAUCUUCUGCAAAGAUGAUGGAAUUACCCCAGAUAGAUUGUUAUAGGAGAGACUCAAAAUUGCCAGAUUUUGAAGAUUACCCAAAUCAAUCAGGAUAGCACCUGAAAAACUGUUGUAUUCCAUUGCCAAGAUCUCCAAGUUCACAAGAUUGCCGAUUUCUCUAGGAAUCUCGCCAAUGAUAAGAUUUCCUCCGAAAUAUAAUUCUUUGAUAGCAAUGGAGAAAUUACCAAUGCAUCUCGGCAAUAGCCCACCGAAUCUAUUACCAGCAACACUUGAGACAAGUAAGCUAGUGAUAUUGGUUAAUGAGCAAAGGAAUUUCAAGUCACCAGAUCCCCCACUUCCGAGGCGAUUAAAUUGAAUGUUCAACAUUUGAAGUUUACGCAAACUUUCAAAAGAUGGUACUUUCCCGAAGAGUUUGUUGCUUGAAAGUUGAAUAUCCUUAGCUUUGUAGCAUUAUUAGGUAUCCACGGGGGGAUUGAGCCAACAAAUUGGUUUGAGGCGAUGCUGAAAAAUUGUAAGUUGGGGAGACCAAAGCCUAUUAUAGUGGGAAGACUUCCAUGUAAUUGGUUAUAACCUACAUCAAAUACUUCCAACGAAGAUAAAUUGAAGAGGGAAGGUGGAACCGUACCAGACAACCUGUUCUGUACCAAAGCAAGUGUCGAUAGUUUGGUCAGUUGGCCUAGAGCCCGAGGAAGACUCCCGCCUAAGUAAUUCCGGCAAAGAUGAACCUGCUCCAAUGAUGAUAAGUUGCCAAUUGAAGAAGGGAUACUUCCUCUUAGAUUAUUUGCUAUUCCAUGAAGAAAGCGAAGCUUCGCCAAAGAACCUAUUUCUAGAGGCACUUCUCCACUCAAUUGGUUUCUAGACAAUCUGACAAGGAGGAGGUCGAGGCAACCUGAUAUGUUCUUGGGGAUUUCACCCGUGAGAAAAUUAGCGGCUAGCGACAAGUUGUGUAACCGGUGCAACCGCCCGAUUUGCGGAGGAAUUUCAUGGUAAAAGCUAUUAUUAUAGAGCAACAAUACCCUUAAGAAGCUAAGGUUCCCAAUAUGAGGGGAGAUAGACCCUAAGAGUUUCUGGGAAUACAGGGCCAACACGGUGACUUUGUUGGGGUGCCGACGACUGCAUGUGACGCCAUACCAUUGGCAAAGGUUGACGGUAUUAUUCCAGGAGCUAAGCACCCCGAAGGGAUCCUCAGUUAUCCCAGCCUUGAAUGCAAGCAAUGCGGAUUUGUCGGUUUCAUUUGAUGAUGAGGAGACUCGUACAAGGCACGAUGCAAUAGCAAUCGCAAAAAUGAAGCUAUGAAAUUCUAAGUUUGCAGAACUAAAGCCCAAGAUCUGCAUAACUCAAAGCAGAAGUGUGCUGAAGUGAUGUAGUCGGAGAUUAAGAAGGGAUGAGAGAUGGGAUGUGUAAUUUAGCUGUGGGUUAGCCACCACGUUGAGAAGAGAUUUAUAGUGGGGGAGGAUCUAGGAGAGAGCCUCCUCUUUUGGUCUCACACAAGCCAUUUAAUGAAGAAAAAUGUGACAUUCCUCCUAACCGUCUCUCUAGGGCAGAAUUAAUGAAGACAGACAUCGGCUGAAAUCGACUUUCCACAACAAGCAAAUGAGAAUUAAUAGGAAAAGAGCGUGCCAUGAUUUGAAUAAAAUAGACAGAUUAGUAGCAGAUUGACUUGAGUAAUCAGUGGCGGAUUGACUUGAGUCAUCUCCUUCUAUGUUUCCUUUUGCAAGUAAUUUCUGAGAAUUUUUACCAAGCACUUAGAUUUUGGAAAUUGUUCUCCACGUAGGCACCGGAUGUUAAUGACGGAUACCUACAACUGCCCGUUCGAAUUGGUCGUCAUAAAUUCUUCCGAGGACCAAAAAUAAUAUUGACGCAUCUCUACCAAUAUUAAGGAAUUAAGGGUAAUAUUCAUCCACGAACUAGCUUUUGUAAUUCAAAAGAAAGGAGAAAACUAGGUAUUUUCUCUCGCUCUACCUUCUUCCACCAAACAAUAAACUCUGGCUUGAAGAAGACGAAAAUAAAAGUGAAUAUAUGAGUAAGGCCCGGCUGAGGAGACCAUUUGCGUUUUACAUUAUCAAGAUUCUCUAAGCUUACAUCGCUCUAAGUAGUGAGUAGAUGUCAAAACGCGCCCUAAACAAUGGAAACUACAUGAUCACGAGAAUAAGGAACAAGUCGACAAGAAGGGUACAGUUUUCUAAAGCUUGUUCACCAUAACUCCCGUUCAUAAAAAAAAAGGAGAGUUUAGCUAGAUUCGCCGACAUUAACUAAUACACGGACCUCAAUAAGAGGCCCUCAACAGCCAGCCUUCCUAACCAACUCGUACAAUUUAUACCAUCAACAUGAAGCCCCCUGAAGUCCUUUCCGGGAACAUUUCUCUUCAUCAAUCCUGCGGAUCCCGAUUCAAAACAAUGGAUGACUCCAAUUCAUCACUGCACCUACCUACAAUCGCCUGCCACGC
RNAcentral lists this long non-coding RNA (37589 nucleotides) under Eucalyptus grandis. RNAcentral's name for it is "long non-coding RNA (EGRA_LNC004466)". Lineage: Eukaryota; Viridiplantae; Streptophyta; Magnoliopsida; Myrtales; Myrtaceae. The record is from RNAcentral.